GAACCACGCUCCUACACUGUGCAAACACCAGAGGGUGAGGUGCUCAGGAGAAACAGGAGACAUCUGAGGAAAAUACAGCCAAGCCUGUUUAAGGACACAUCCAUGGACCCAGAUGUCUGUUCACGCCCAAGAGCCAGUUGUGCCACCAGCAAGUGACACCCCACAACACUCACCUCCUGCAACUUGCUGCGAGACCUCACACCAAGCACAUCUACUGCGGGUCGGUUGCCUGUUAUGCAACAUCCCCCAAAAACACGAAGAGGAGAGUCCUGGCCCCUAGCCCUGCCAGUGUAGCAGAAAUGAUGAGGAUGAUGAUGCAGCAGCCGUUCUUCUCUGCGUGAGUAGCUUAAUGUUGUUCGUGUGUAAUUUACGUUGAGUAGGCUAACCACGUUAUUACAUUAAUGCAUGUAAGGUGAACUAGCAAACAUCAUCAUAGCUACAUGCUGCUGUCUUCUUGUUUGAUGGCAGAUACUCCCUUCACAAUGGCCAAAAAGGCUAAAAUGACCAAAGAAAAAGUGGAAAACAGUUAAACAUGAGAGGUUUUUGGACAAAGUUUGUGUUUUUUCCAUUGUUUAAGCACUGCUUCCAGCCAACAGUGAUACCAUAUAUGCCCCAUAGCUGCAGAAAAGGCUAACAUUGUUAUCUUUUUACAAAAAAAACCAGCUGAACAUGAGAGGUUUUUGGACCAAUUUUGUGUUCUCCAUUCUUUAAGCACCGGUUUAAGCACCGGCACUGUUUCAAAAGUACCGAUUUGGCACCGGUAUCGGAUAAAACCUAAACGAUACCCACCCCUACUCUUCACUGUCAUUGACCUACAUCAGUCAUCAGGACAUUUUAUAAUAAGAACACUUGGAGGGAAAGUUGUUCAAGCAACAGUGUGUGGCGGCCGAACACAUCAGCAGCCAUCGUAGCCUG
Astatotilapia calliptera (eastern happy) is the source of this 915-nucleotide long non-coding RNA. NCBI's taxonomy places the organism in Eukaryota, Metazoa, Chordata, Actinopteri, Cichliformes, Cichlidae. The record is from Ensembl.